Molecule: small nuclear RNA, 107 nt
Filed under: Salvator merianae (Argentine black and white tegu)
Lineage: Eukaryota; Metazoa; Chordata; Lepidosauria; Squamata; Teiidae
Source: RNAcentral
GUGCUUGCUUCAGCACCAUGUAUGCUAAAAUUGGAACAUUACAGGGAAGAUUAGCAUGGCCCCUGCGCAAGGAUGACGUACAUAUUCAUGAAGCAUUCCUUUUUUCU